CUGCUGCUCCCGUAGGAGUGUUACCGCGGCUGCUGGCUGCUGCCUCCCGUAGGAGUGUUACCGCGGCUGCUGGCACCCUUCGUAUUACCGCGGCUGCUGGAUUACCG
This 107-nucleotide ribosomal RNA is filed under the name uncultured delta proteobacterium. RNAcentral describes it as "partial 16S ribosomal RNA". Lineage: Bacteria; Deltaproteobacteria. The record is from RNAcentral.